GACGAACGCUGGCGGCGUGCUUAACACAUGCAAGUCGAACGGAAAGGCCCUGCUUUUGUGGGGUGCUCGAGUGGCGAACGGGUGAGUAACACGUGAGUAACCUGCCCUUGACUUUGGGAUAACUUCAGGAAACUGGGGCUAAUACCGGAUAGGAGCUCCUGCUGCAUGGUGGGGGUUGGAAAGUUUCGGCGGUUGGGGAUGGACGCGCGGCUUAUCAGCUUGUUGGUGGGGUAGUGGCUUACCAAGGCUUUGACGGGUAGCCGGCCUGAGAGGGUGACCGGCGACAUUGGGACUGAGGGACGGAGCAGACGCGUACGGGAGGCAGCAGGGGGGAGUAUUGCACAAUGGGCGGAAGCCUGAUGCGGCGACGCCGCGUGCGGGAUGACGGCUUUCGGGUUGUAAACCGCUUUCGCCUGUGACGAAGCGUGAGUGACGGUAAUGGGUAAAGAAGCACCGGCUAACUACGUG
RNAcentral lists this ribosomal RNA (468 nucleotides) under uncultured bacterium. RNAcentral describes it as "partial 16S ribosomal RNA". It matches the Rfam family "Bacterial small subunit ribosomal RNA", at positions 28 to 507 of the family's 1533-position model. The record is from RNAcentral.